Molecule: long non-coding RNA, 342 nt
Organism: Bos taurus (domestic cattle)
Lineage: Eukaryota; Metazoa; Chordata; Mammalia; Artiodactyla; Bovidae
Source: Ensembl
AGAGCAGAGGGCACCUUCACCACCCCAGCCAGGGCACGGGCAGCACGGAGGCCCCCAGGCCCUGCGCCCUCUCAGGGCAGCGGCUGGGCUAGGUGUCUGACCCUGGCCAUGCUGCAUCACCGGUUCCUGCCGCUCAGCCCAUCAAACCGUCACUGUCCAUUGUCGGCUGUGGAGGACUGUCCAGAGUGGGCUGAGCUGGCCAGGAAGGCUUCCUGGAAGAGGUGUUACCCGGAGCCUUGGAGGAUGAGAAGGAAGGAAGAGGGAAACACUUCUGGUCUCCUGGUACAUUUGAGAACCUGGUGAGGCCAUCUUUACUUUCCUCAUCUAGAUGAGAGGGUUAAG